AGGAAUAUUGGUCAAUGGGUGCAAGCCUGAACCAGCCAUCCCGCGUGAAGGACGACUGCCCUAUGGGUUGUAAACUUCUUUUGUAUAGGGAUAAACCUACCCUCGUGAGGGUAGCUGAAGGUACUAUACGAAUAAGCACCGGCUAACUCCGUGCCAGCAGCCGCGGUAAUACGGAGGGUGCAAGCGUUAUCCGGAUUUAUUGGGUUUAAAGGGUCCGUAGGCGGACUUAUAAGUCAGUGGUGAAAGCCUGUCGCUUAACGAUAGAACUGCCAUUGAUACUGUAAGUCUUGAGUAUAUUUGAGGUAGCUGGAAUAAGUAGUGUAGCGGUGAAAUGCAUAGAUAUUACUUAGAACACCAAUUGCGAAGGCAGGUUACCAAGAUAUAACUGACGCUGAGGGACGAAAGCGUGGGGAGCGAACA
This 420-nucleotide ribosomal RNA is filed under the name uncultured bacterium. RNAcentral's name for it is "bacterial SSU rRNA". It matches the Rfam family "Bacterial small subunit ribosomal RNA", at positions 357 to 774 of the family's 1533-position model. The record is from RNAcentral.